UAGAGUUUGAUCCUGGCUCAGGAUGAACGCUAGCUACAGGCUUAACACAUGCAAGUCGAGGGGCAGCAUGAACUUAGCUUGCUAAGUUUGAUGGCGACCGGCGCACGGGUGAGUAACACGUAUCCAACCUUCCGUUUACUCAGGGAUAGCCUUUCGAAAGAAAGAUUAAUACCUGAUAGUAUGGUGAGAUUGCAUGAUAGCACCAUUAAAGAUUUAUUGGUAAACGAUGGGGAUGCGUUCCAUUAGGUAGUAGGCGGGGUAACGGCCCACCUAGCCGACGAUGGAUAGGGGUUCUGAGAGGAAGGUCCCCCACAUUGGAACUGAGACACGGUCCAAACUCCUACGGGAGGCAGCAGUGAGGAAUAUUGGUCAAUGGGCGAGAGCCUGAACCAGCCAAGUAGCGUGAAGGAUGAAGGUCCUACGGAUUGUAAACUUCUUUUAUACGGGAAUAAAGUAUCCUACGUGUAGGAUUUUGUAUGUACCGUAUGAAUAAGCAUCGGCUAACUCCGUGCCAGCAGCCGCGGUAAUACGGAGGAUGCGAGCGUUAUCCGGAUUUAUUGGGUUUAAAGGGAGCGCAGACGGGAGAUUAAGUCAGUUGUGAAAGUUUGCGGCUCAACCGUAAAAUUGCAGUUGAUACUGGUUUCCUUGAGUGCAGUUGAGGCAGGCGGAAUUCGUGGUGUAGCGGUGAAAUGCUUAGAUAUCACGAAGAACCCCGAUUGCGAAGGCAGCUUGCUAAACUGUAACUGACGUUCAUGCUCGAAAGUGUGGGUAUCAAACAGGAUUAGAUACCCUGGUAGUCCACACGGUAAACGAUGGAUACUCGCUGUUGGCGAUAUACUGUCAGCGGCCAAGCGAAAGCAUUAAGUAUCCCACCUGGGGAGUACGCCGGCAACGGUGAAACUCAAAUG
Molecule: ribosomal RNA, 908 nt
Filed under: uncultured bacterium
Lineage: Bacteria
Description: bacterial SSU rRNA
Rfam family: Bacterial small subunit ribosomal RNA
Source: RNAcentral